CCCUUAGAUGUCCGGGGCUGCACGCGCGCUACACUGAAGGAAUCAGCGUGCUAAAACCAUCGUCGAAAGGCAUUGGUAAACCCAUUAAAAUCCUACGUGAUUGGGAUCGGGAAUUGCAAUUAUUUCCCUUGAACGAGGAAUUCCCAGUAAGUGUGGGUCAUAAGCUCGCGUUGAUUACGUCCCUGCCCUUUGUACACACCGCCCGUCGCUGCCCGGGACUGAGCCGUUUCGAGAAAAGCGGGGACUGCUGCUGUCGGGGCUUUCGGGCCUUGGCUUCGGUGGAAACCGCUUUAAUCGCAGUGGCUUGAACCGGGCAAAAGUCGUANCA
Molecule: ribosomal RNA, 328 nt
Filed under: uncultured eukaryote
Lineage: Eukaryota
Description: partial 18S ribosomal RNA
Rfam family: Eukaryotic small subunit ribosomal RNA
Source: RNAcentral